AAUGAACGUUGGCGGCGUGGAUUAGGCAUGCAAGUCGAGGGAGAACCCGCAAGGGGGACACCGGCGAACGGGGUAGGAUCACGUAGGUGACGUACCCUCAGGGCGAGGAUAGCCACGGGAAACUGUGGGUAAUACUCGAUAACCUUCCCAAUCGUGAUAGAAGGGGAAGCAAUGGGUGUGAUUCCACCUGAGGAGCGGCUUACGCAGUAUCAGCUUGUUGGUGAGGUAACGGCUCACCAAGGCUUUGACGCUUAGGUGGUGUGAGAGCAUGGCCCCCACCACUGGCACUGAGACACUGGCCAGACACCUACGGGUGGCUGCAGUCGAGAAUCUUCGGCAAUGGACGAAAGUCUGACCGAGCGACGCCGCGUGCGGGAUGAAGGUCUUCGGAUUGUAAACCGCUGUCAGAGGGGAUGAAGUAUAUGAAAGCUAUCUUUUAUAUUUGACAGAGCCUCAGAGGAAGCACGGGCUAAGUUCGUGCCAGCAGCC
RNAcentral lists this ribosomal RNA (489 nucleotides) under uncultured bacterium. Its description in RNAcentral is "bacterial SSU rRNA". It matches the Rfam family "Bacterial small subunit ribosomal RNA", at positions 29 to 516 of the family's 1533-position model. The record is from RNAcentral.